This 1171-nucleotide unclassified non-coding RNA is filed under the name Hevea brasiliensis (rubber tree). The record is from RNAcentral. Lineage: Eukaryota; Viridiplantae; Streptophyta; Magnoliopsida; Malpighiales; Euphorbiaceae.
CAAGAAAAAAAUUUUUAUUAUUAGCAGGACUAUAUUACUAUAUUUAUGUAUAUGAGAGUCUAGUGCACGACUUUUUCCUAGUAACAUUUCAUAAAUCUAGUGCACGACUUUGACGGACAAGAAACUAUGAGAGUCUCGAUUGGUACUAUCAUUUAUGGCACUUCCCAUAAUAGUACCACUAUGUUAGGAUAUUAAUGCCUGGAAGAAAUGAGUCAUCACCCGAGUAAUAACUAUGAUAAAUUCAUAAGAAGGGAUGUGAAUUAACAAUUUAUCCUCCAUUAUCCUUCUUUUACCAUGAACCCAAUAAUUUAGGUUUAGGAUAGUGGGUACAAAAGAAGAAAUGUGUUAAACACCCUUUUCGCUUGGACUUACCUUAAAAUAAGGGUCAGCCUCUACUAAUAAUUCCUCAAGUCUAUCUCUGAUGCAAAUUUCUCAAGUCUAUCUUAUUGUUUCAUUUAUUAAAUUCCUUAACACACAUUUAUGCAAGCUAAAUUUACAAGCGAAUAUUGUUCAUGUAGCGCAUAAAAAAGUAAGCACACACACAUUUCCUAAUCAUGCCAAGUUUCUAAACUUAUGUGAUGUUUGCUUAUGUGAUGUUGGAUUUGGAUCUUUGUUAGACGCUCAAUGCUUGUUUCAUGUUUGAAGACAGAUUCUCAAGCAUAUUAGUGUGCUGACCAGCAAAAGUUUGUAGUUUAUUCUUGAGCGUGUUAACAAGGCCUACUCCAACCUCUUCAUUAAGAACAGUUUUGAGAUUGACCAUGUUGAGGUUAUUUUUUGUCGUUGCUCAUGUUGGGAGUUUACAUAAAGAAACAGAGAGUGAGAGGACGGGUUAUCUAUAGAGAGAGCCCAUUCCUCUCCUUUGAUAGAGGAGAUUAUCUAACAAUCUUCCUUUGACAGACGAGAUUAUUUAACUGUCCAAGAAUAUAUAUUUUCUUUCUUUUCGUAAAAUUAAUGAAUCUUUCCGACCCUAAGUUAGAGUUCGAGUUAUAGUUCGAGUUAUAAUAAGUAAAUACCAAACAUUGCCAACAAUAGUGCAUUUACAUCUAAAUGUUUUGUGUAACUUACUUAUAAUUUGACUCUGUUUAAAUUUCUUUUUCAUUGCUUAAAAGAAAAUUUAUAAAAUAUAGGCUAUUAAUUUUUCAAUAUAGUUUGGCCAAUAAGAAAAUAAAAU